GCGGGGAUGCCGGAGCGGCCAAAUUAAGCCAAGCAUGACUUGGUUUUAGGCCAUACGGGACAGACUCAAGAUCUGUUGGCUUAGUGCCUACGUGGGUUCAAAUCCUACUCCCCGCA
This 116-nucleotide transfer RNA is filed under the name Candidatus Woesearchaeota archaeon. Its description in RNAcentral is "tRNA-Leu". It matches the Rfam family "tRNA". From Rfam's summary of the family: Transfer RNA (tRNA) molecules are approximately 80 nucleotides in length. Their secondary structure includes four short double-helical elements and three loops (D, anti-codon, and T loops). The record is from RNAcentral. Lineage: Archaea; Nanobdellati; Candidatus Woesearchaeota.